CCUACGGGGGGCAGCAGUGAGGAAUAUUGGUCAAUGGACGAGAGUCUGAACCAGCCAAGUAGCGUGAAGGAUGACUGCCCUAUGGGUUGUAAACUUCUUUUGUCAGGGAGCAAAGGGCGCCACGUGUGGCGUUUUGCGAGUACCUGAAGAAAAAGCAUCGGCUAACUCCGUGCCAGCAGCCGCGGUAAUACGGAGGAUGCGAGCGUUAUCCGGAUUUAUUGGGUUUAAAGGGUGCGCAGGCGGAAUGUCAAGUCAGCGGUAAAAUUUCGGGGCUCAACCCCGUCGUGCCGUUGAAACUGGCGUUCUUGAGUGAGCGAGAAGUAUGCGGAAUGCGUGGUGUAGCGGUGAAAUGCAUAGAUAUCACGCAGAACCCCGAUUGCGAAGGCAGCUUACUAGACUGUGACUGACAUUGAUGCUCGAAAGUGUGGGUAUCAAACAGGAUUAGAUACCCCAGUAGUC
RNAcentral lists this ribosomal RNA (459 nucleotides) under uncultured bacterium. Its description in RNAcentral is "partial 16S ribosomal RNA". It matches the Rfam family "Bacterial small subunit ribosomal RNA", at positions 338 to 795 of the family's 1533-position model. The record is from RNAcentral.